Apis cerana (Asiatic honeybee) is the source of this 7969-nucleotide long non-coding RNA. RefSeq lists it as uncharacterized. Lineage: Eukaryota; Metazoa; Arthropoda; Insecta; Hymenoptera; Apidae. The record is from RefSeq and is a predicted model, not a curated record.
AUUCGUUUGUAUUCCAUCGUCGAGGAUCGAAACGACGACACUUUUACCAGUGUAACCUUUCUGCCACGCCGGCCCAAGAUUCAUGUCGUAGCCAUCUUUGGCUCCACCGUUCUGCAAUUACGUUGUUCCUUGAUUUUAACGGUCCUCUCAAAAAUCCUGGAAACGAGGAGAGUGCCGUGUUAAAAACGAAAGAAGAAAAGGAGAAGUGACUUACUCGCACGUAUAAUAAAUAAGAAUUCGAGUGUGGGAAAUGGUGCGAAAUCGGAACGAAAGUAUUCAAUAAGUUUCAAUUUCAAAAAUUCGCUAUUUGAAUAUUAAUGUACCUCUCUCAUAAAGAAAAAAAAAAAAAAAAAAAGGAGGAACGAAUGACAAAGAAUCGAAAGCGGUUUCGUUUCUGCGCGUAUCCUUUUUCCCCCUCCACAGUCGCGUCGAUUCGUGAAACGGAUGCACGGUGGAAGAAACAAUGGGGACACGAUGAGCGGCGAACGUUAACUGGCUGCGGUUAUUGUUUCGACGGAGGCAACCCCGUGAUAGGUCACUUCCGAAAUCCACGUGGGGCAAGUAGAAAAAAAAAAGAGAGAGAGAAAAAAUAUCAAUGCGACAUAUUCGACAUAUAUAUAUAUAUAUACGUGCGUGUACACUAUAUGGUUGCGAUCAUCGUUUUAAAUGGAUGCAGCCGUAUUCGAACGCAACUUUUUCAAACGUGUGCCGAAAAAAUGGAGCGCAAAGGGGAGGGGGCAUUCUCUGUUUCUCUUUUUUCCGUUUCUUCCUUUUUUUGGAAGUUUGUUCGGAGGGAUGGGUCGUUUUCGCUUUUGAUACCUUUGUUCCCCCCUCCCCCUUUUUUCCCAUUCAUCCAUCCAAGCCAUUGAUUCGUGCACUUCAAAAAUUGGGAUGCGUUUAAUUGCUCGGAAGCGGAUCUCACGCGAUUUCGAAUUGACCGUUUACGUUCUUCUUUCCUUCUCUCUCUCGAAUUUUUAUCCGGCUGUUAUUAGCUCGUCGGACAGAUAUGUGGAAGCAGACAUUGUUCGAAGUAUGAGGAUAAAUUCCAAGUUUGCUCUCUUUCUACUUCUCUUUCUUUUUCCGGGCUAAGUGCUUGUAAAUAAAAUGUAAAUAAAUAAAUGAAGAGUACGAGAUGGAAUAAGAAGAGAUGGGUAAUAAUUUCUUUCGAAAGUGAUUGACGAAGCUUUUUAUAUUCGGUGUUUCACGUAUAAUGUUCUCAUUAUAUAUUUUCUCAUAUUUUCCUUCCCCCUCUAUCAAUUUCUUAAUGAACAGAGAUAAUCAAAACUCAUCUUAAUGCUCGAAUUAAUUUCAUUGGUUACAAAAAUACUUGGAAAAUAAUAUUUCUAUUCCCACGUCGAAAAUAUAGUUCCACGGUCUAAUUUGAGAUAAAAAAAUUUAAAUCGCUCGACGGUACAUUAUUUCACGCUUUAUAAAAUUAUAGCAAGUAAAGAGCUCGGGAAUCUAUUCGCGAAGCGAUAUUUUAUAAUAAAAAUCAAACGUAAGUAAAUGUCAUUCGAAUUGGAACGCCAAAGGGUUAAUAAUGCACGGAUUACAUUAGGUGUAAUCGAGACGAUCCUCGGCUCGGGAGGGCGAUGAAAGGAACGAUGCUUAUAACGUUAACGCGAACCCGAGGCGGAUUACUUUGUAACGAGUUAAUGCGUUUUUCGUGCCGCUUAUUAGCGACGCCGAUCGCAUUAUGGCGUGCCACGGCCGUGUAAAAAGAAAUUAAUCCUCGUGAAACGAACUGAUCCUUGUACGUAAAAAAAGGGGCGAUUUCCCGUUAAAUAUCCUCAACAGUUUUUGGAGUUUUCAUGAAGGAACGAAUAUACUCGUAAUUUUCGAAAAUAAAAUAAAAAAAAAAAUUGGAAGGGAGCGUUUGAAAUUAAGUAAGUUUGGAAUUGGUGUACGUUUAAUUGGAUCGAUUGCAAAAUUCUUAUGAUUUUGAAUGUAUAUAUAGAUGAUCGUUUCUUCUUCCACGAUGUUAUCGAGAUUGUUAUAAAGUUAAACAAAUAAUGGAAGAAUUGAAAAUAUCAUAUACGAGCAUGUAUACGUGAAAAUUAACAAUUUUUGUUCAUGGGAACAACUAGAUAUUUCGAGUUGUAUAUUUCCAUAAGAAGUGUGGUGAUAAAGUUUAAAAUUGUUCCAAUGAAAAUUUCAUUCUACUUGUUCUACCGUGGAGUCGCUCUACUUUCAUUUCAUGUAUAGUAGGUUUUAUUAAGUCGGGGAGAAGGAAAAUUGAGCGGACUCGUCCCUCUAUCCCAGACGAAAGCAUCGAGUAAUUCAAUCAGUAGUUCUCGCUAAUCAACUCCUCCAACUUGUUCGUACGGCGAUCACAACGUUAAAAAUUAAUUGGCACAAUUAUCGUCGACAAUAUUUUAAUAUUUUUCAUUGACGAAAAAAAAAAAAAGUAAAAACAUUGUUCUAAUGAAAUUUUCAAAUUUGAAACAAAAUAUUUCAAGUAUAUUCUUCCUUGAAUUGGUUGAAAAUAUCUAGUUGAAAAUUCAAUAUCAGAGUUCACGUUAGAAAUUCAAUAUCAGUGAAAACUUUGCAAUGUGUUAAAAAAAAAAAAAGAAAAGAAAAGAUCACCUAAAUUGAUCUUUGAACUUCAAGGAACGCCUCCACUCUCGGAUAAAGUGUAUGCACGCGUUACGUGUACACGAUCCGCGAAAACAUGUAAUUUUCACGUACACGCAAUAACUUUUCCUUCAACGCGUAAAUUUAGAAGUUAUUUAGGUGUUACGCGGGUUCACCGCGUAAUAUUCGUCUGUAAUGUAUAUACCUACGCGUACAAGUAUAAUAAUAAAACAUGUUCUCAACAAUGUUUAUUCCAGCUACGUUGAAAAUUACGGAGAUGUGGAUAGAAUAAAAAUUCGUUUUAGUGUUCUACGCGUAUAAAAUAAAUUCUUUUGUCGAUUCUUUUAGCGCAAAAAUUUUUAUUUCAAUUAUUUUCUUGUUAUUCAAUACACGGGAUAAUAAAUAUCGAAAUCUGAAAUAAUUUUACAAAUAAUAUAAUGUUCAAGUGGAUUCGUCAAAAUUUAAAGUCAAACAUUCAUUCCUUAUUAUAUUCUCCACUUCAUUAUUGAACGACAUUGAAUUCAGAUAAAAAAAAAACGCGAAGCGAUUCGAUGAAUAAAGUACUCGAUUUAGAAAAAAUAAAGAGAGGGAGGGAAAUUGGAAUCAAUCGAUAAAAACCGUCUUAUUUCGAGUCGGCUACGAGAAAGCCUCCAUUUUAUUCGAUAAUCCAUCUCUGCUGAAAUAGCGCCUUAAACGCUCGAGUAUCGAAGGAAAUUUAUACAGUUCGUGGUAUACCGGUAAGAGAGGAACACGGGCGAAUUAUGCGGGAGCAAGUGAAACGUAAUCUUUCUAUUGCGCCCAAGUUUCGCACGAAUACUCUCGUUCGAUCGCAAUUUAUGCCAAUUUUUUCUCGUAAUACAUUCGUCGUUACCAAGACCAAAAAAAAAGGAUAAAAAUGAAAUACAAUAUAGAGCUAACAACCAUUAUUGACCAAUAAAUAUUUUACAAAGAUAAAGAUUCGCAACAAAUUUGACUUUCAAAUUCUAAAUUCUAAAAAAAUAUAUUAUCAAUCGCUCCGACAAGUUAAAGAAACUAAAAUUUCAAAUGUUAUAGUCAAAGAUAACGAAUAAUUAAACGAAUUACAUCUUUAUCACCAACAAUUUUCUAUUCAUAGUUCAAUGUACACGACGAAAACUAUCGAAUCGUUUGUUUUCACUCGUCCUUAACGAAGCUUAAAAUAUCGAUCGAGAUGGAACGAGACUGGACCGAAAAUGAGUUUUGUUUCGAGUUUCUGCAAAGUCGAGGAGGAAAUCGUUGGAAAAAAAAAUCGUUUGAAAAGGAGAUUGAAAAUUGGCGAUCCCUGAAUCUCGCUGUUCGUUACACCGAGAUUUCGUAGCAUCGCCAUUUUCGCGAUACUAACGCCGACUGGUGGACGUUUUUAACGUUGCGCCGCGCUGCGAAGAAAUCCUUUGGACGGUUACUUUUCACGGUAGAGAAGACAAUUUCUUUCGAUGUUUCUCCGCGUUAAAUCGGCCGGACGGAGGAGAUCGUAAUCGGGAGUAAUAGCGUCAUUGGCACGGGCUGAUGAUACCAUCACGCCGCCGGCCCUAUCACGAAAGGGUGAAGGAGCAGGAGGAAGAGGAGGAAAUCGAAUUAUGGGCGGAUAUACACGUGAUGCGAAUAGAGCGGAAUGGCUGAAUCGUUGAUUAUACGAAACCUUCCUUGGGAAUUUGCGGUCCGCGGUUCCUUAACUUUUACACGCUCCGUGUUCCGUACCGUAGCAUCAAUUUUAGAUAACUACGAUAUAUUUGUUUUCAAUAAAGUAAGACUGUUGCUUAUGAACACAGUGAGACAUUUAUAAAUAAUUGUAUAUUUAUCAUAUACAGUUCUACAUAUCCAAAUUCUUCCACGACAAUUCUCGAAAGUGUGCAAGUGAAAUAAUACACAUCAAGAUAUUUUUAAAUAACUAAGGAGCAGUGAUUAUAUAGUAAUUUAUAUCACACACAGUUCUGCAUAUCCAAAUUUUUUCAACGACGAAAUGCUCGAAAGCGUUAAAAGUGGAAUAAUACAUUUAAAAUUAGCGAGUGUCCAUCGAGGCAAGGACUGGUGAUCUCGUUUCGUACUGUCGGUACCUUUCUUAUCGGUCAACCGCUAACGAUCUCACUCCUCUAUUUCUCGACCUUGUUUUAUCCCUGGAACGGGAUCUAAUGUCUGGAAAAACACCGCUUUUCACCGCGUUGCAAAGACGCUCGCGCGUCUCAUUCUUAUUCAGCUCGGCUUUGUUCGACAUCGGUGUUUUAUACGCCGCGGCUGAAUCGUCGCGCCCGCGAACAGGGCGACAAGAGGAAGGGUGGGGGAAGAGAGGAGGGGCAAGAAAGCAAAGAAAAGAUUCGAGAAAGUUCCGCCGUCGGUUUGUGUUGUGGUACGCGUCGCCUCGAUCGUUGAAUGCGGGAAUUUUUUUUAAAACAAGUUUUUUUCCGCGUUUAAUCCCUUCAGUAAUUAUCGCGGACCCGUGCAGCGAAUUUCAAUGAAACUAAUGGAAAUGGUGCGAAUGUCGAUCGAAAUGUUGAGAAAUUAUUAUAGAAAAAGGUUUUUUUUUUUUAAGAUCAAUUUUCGAUAAAUUGGAAAAUGCAACGAUUUGGACGAUUUCGUAAAAAUUUUAUUUCACUGCGACAACAAUUUAUUUAUUUUCGUUUAAACACACGCUUUUAAUGCAUAGAGAUAAAAGAAAAGUGUAUGAGUCAUUCAAACUUAAUUAGGAUAUUUUAUAUUGGAACAAAGAAAUCGAGAUCGAACGAAUAAAAUUGCGCAUAUAAGGAAACGUCGUGGUUUUUGUUGAUCGUUUCGUACGCACAAUUACUGUUCCGCACAAUAGGCCGACUUGAAAACAAUAGUUGGUGGAAAAUGAUGGAAACCGUGAUAUUUUAAAAGGGGUCUUGUCCCGAAAUUCACUGGUUUGGAAAGGGAUUAUUGUUUUGUGAAAUAAAAUUAUACCAGCUUGAUAAACGGGAUUCCUUUCGUCAGAAUUUUAUCAUAUUCGCGAGAGUAUUAACUUUAAUCCUUGAACAACGAAUGCUGCGAGUGGGUGAAUCGCAUUAUCAAAAUUUUGAUAAAAACAAUGAAAAGAAACACGAGUAAAACUUUCACCUUUACCUAUUUUGCCGAAAUAAAAUUUUCUUCAUUCUGUGGAACAACUUAAUAACAAACUCGUCGCAACGUAUGCAUUCGAUGACUCGGCAUUAUUUCUGACGAAGAUUAAUAGUAAUUCUUACCGCACUCCUAUCGCGAAAAAUAUGCACGAAAAAUAUGCACGAAAAAGUUUUGACUCGAGUUAAAAAAAAAAAAGAAUGAAAAACUAUAUCGCGUUUCGUGUCUUUGAAAUUGUGAUAUUUAUCUUAUCUCUCGUUGGUUAGCUUGAAACAGACCUCCAAAGUGUAUAUUCGUAUGAUUUAUAAAACACACGGAUACUUUUAUAACGUAUAUAACGUUGGAAGAUGGAUUAUAAUACGAAGUCUAUAUUUUGAAACUUGUUAUAAAGUGCACACUCACCUAAAAUAAUACUUGUAAACUUUUUUUAAAUAACACGAUAUUUAGUUAGUUGCCUCUUCCUCCCGACAAAUAAGCUGUCUGAGGAGGAAAUCCAUAUCUAGACACUUUUAGAUAUACACAUCGAUCUAGCGAUACGUGUUAGAGUAUUUCGAAUGUCUGUCCGGUGGUUAAAGUUGGAACGCCUAUUAAUCAAACGAUGUUUUUUAAAAUUGCAAUCUUCUUUCUUACGAGGAAAAAUACAUAACCGAAGAUCGAACGAUAUUUUUUUAUGAGACACAUAUUUACCAUCCAACUUAAUUUUUCAGUGUUCCGUGCUUUAAAGUUUUGAAACAAAUAAAAUCUUAUGUUUCCUCGUUAUUUAUAGUGGAAUGUUAUUAUUGUCAUCACCAUAAAGCUUUGUUACGUAAUUAUAUAAAAAUUCGAUGCCAACUUUUACGAGACACUUUUGCUUCGAUUUCUCCUUCUUUCCUUCUUUUCUAUAUAUUUAUCCGCAUACUUUUCUAUUUCUUUAAAUAUAUAAAAAAUAAUUUUCUAAAUGGUGAAGGAAGAAUAUAUUUUUCACUUCAUGCUCGAUUCGAGCACGUAGCUCAUAAAAUUUUCAUGGGGGAAUGAAAUGACGCGAUCUCUGCGUUGGUUGUCCAAGAGCGUUCGAUAGAACGAGACGAGAAACACCGUAGAAUCUCGGUGGGCAUGCAAGAUAGAACGACGUAGCCCCGAGUACAUGGCAGACAAUUUCCUCGAAGGGACAAGAAGAAAGCCCGGGACCGAUGCUCGCGAUGCGUGUCACUUCCAGAAUGCGAGAUCGAAAAUCAAUUUCCGGUAAACGAAACGGAAAACAAGGAUUUGACGCGUGGCAAUCGUAUAUAUAAAACGGAACGGAGGUAGAAACAUGGCUGUAAUCGCUGUUUCUGUUGAGGAAACGGACGUUUGGACGAGCGUUUACGCGCCAAUUUUUUCUCAUCUAGCCAGAGAGAGAGAGAGAUAGAAAAAGGAAGGAAAUGAAUAUAUAUAAUCGAUUGCUUCUAGCGAUGUAUCUUUCAUCCAAUCUUUUUCUUUUUUAGAAAAAUAACUUUCGAGAAUACUAUAAUCCAAAUAAAAUUUAAUACAAUUAAGAUUAAUAAGAUAGUUCAAAGUAUAUAUGUACAUCGAUAUUGGUUGCUGGAAACGAAUCUUUAUUCCGUGGCCUAUUUUUCCCCUGUCUGUGCGCACAACGCGGCUAGUAAUAGCGAAAAGGAAAGAAAAAAAGUUGAGUCAGUAACUGACCAUCCACACACGGGUAAGUGUCGCGGUUGAGGCACAGAGGAUUGACGAAUGGAUGGGAGCGAGACCGACAACGAGAGAGGGACACGCGCGAGAACGAGACGGAGACAAUGGUCGACGCUCGAAAUUAACGGCCCGCUUUAAACGACGAUAUCUCGGCAAUGGAGGGUCGUAUCGGCGUGGUUUAAACGGUAUUUUAAAGGGGAUGUUCCUUGCGUUUAACUACGUCGGUAAAAGUUUGACGCGCAAUGCAACACAAACCGAUAUAUUACCUUAGAUAGUUAAAAAUGUUUCGUUUCCCAUAUAUGUACAUAUCCCACGUGAGACGAAAUCUAGUUUUUUCUACGUAAUAAGAAAUAAAAUAUGAUAAUAGAAUUCGUACGAAUUCGUGUUGAAGCUUAAAGUGUUAAAUUUAAUUCGAGUUCAAUUUCUUUCUUCGUAGAAAAGUUUCGAGUAUAUUCGAGAAAUAUUUGUACAGCGCUUAUCUAAGUUUUCGCAGAAGGACACGAUCGUGGAAAGUAUAGAAUUUAUUCUUGGAUUGAAAGUUUGUUAUUAUAACAAACAAGUGUAUUCAAAUGUGUGCAUGAAAAAAUAAAACAUGAAAUUUUGAUUAAUAAUAUACGAAAAUGAUUAAAAAUAAUUAAAA